UACGGGGGGAGCAAGCGUUGUUCGGAUUUAUUGGGCGUAAAGCGUCCGCAGGUGGCUAUACAAGGCUGCUGUUAAAGCGUGGGGCUUAACUCCAUACAGGCAGUGGAAACUGUAAAGCUAGAGUCUGGUAGGGGUCACGGGAAUUCCCAGUGUAGCGGUGAAAUGCGUAGAUAUUGGGAAGAACACCAGCGGCGAAAGCGCGUGACUGGGCCGGAACUGACACUCAUGGACGAAAGCUAGGGGAGCGAAAGGG
RNAcentral lists this ribosomal RNA (253 nucleotides) under uncultured bacterium. Its description in RNAcentral is "partial 16S ribosomal RNA". It matches the Rfam family "Bacterial small subunit ribosomal RNA", at positions 524 to 776 of the family's 1533-position model. The record is from RNAcentral.